Prinia subflava (tawny-flanked prinia) is the source of this 465-nucleotide long non-coding RNA. RefSeq lists it as uncharacterized. NCBI's taxonomy places the organism in Eukaryota, Metazoa, Chordata, Aves, Passeriformes, Cisticolidae. The transcript has 4 exons. The record is from RefSeq and is a predicted model, not a curated record.
GGCGUGCCGGGAGUUGUAGUCCGCAGUGCGGGGGCGCGGCGAUCACCCGAGCGUGUGGCCGGCAUCUGCAAGGAUUGGGGAAUGCUCUGGAGUUAUGAAUAAUACACCGGUAGCAGAGUUGGGAUGUAAGGAUCCCCUGAAGAGUGAAAGAUGAUAUGCUAUUGAAAAAAAAUCUUUGAAAUACAUCCUGACUUUAAAAAAAAGGGUCUCCUGUUACCAUGACUACUUAUCACACCCAUUUUGCUUACUGCUAAUUGCAAUGACAGUGGACCUUUGAAGUAAAGACACAGAGAUGAGUAAAAUUGUGGAUGGUGAUGAUGACACUGUUGAAGUCGAGUAGUGUUUAUGGUAUGUAGAGAUGUGAAUUUCUGCCUUGUGACAAAAUUGUAUGAUUGAUCCUGCUAUGCAUGUGGGCUGGUUUGAGCUAGGGUAGAGUUAAUUGUCUUCACAGUAGCUCUUGUGGGG